Molecule: ribosomal RNA, 440 nt
Filed under: uncultured bacterium
Lineage: Bacteria
Description: partial 16S ribosomal RNA
Rfam family: Bacterial small subunit ribosomal RNA
Source: RNAcentral
CCUACGGGAGGCAGCAGUAGGGAAUAUUGCUCAAUGGGGGAAACCCUGAAGCAGCAACGCCGCGUGGAGGAUGAAGGUUUUCGGAUUGUACACUCCUUUUGUUAGAGAAGAUAAUGACGGUAUCUAACGAAUAAGCACCGUCUAACUCCAUGCCAGCAGCCGCGGUAAUACGGAGGGUGCAAGCGUUACUCGGAAUCACUGGGCGUAAAGAGAGCGUAGGCGGGAUAGCAAGUCAGAUGUGAAAUCCUAUGGCUUAACCAUAGAACUGCAUGUGAAACUGUUAUUCUAGAGUAUGGGAGAGGUAGGUGGAAUUCUUGGUGUAGGGGUAAAAUCCGUAGAGAUCAAGAGGAAUACUCAUUGCGAAGGCGACCUGCUAGAACGUAACUGACGCUGAUGCGCGAAAGCGUGGGGAGUAAACAGGAUUAGAUACCCCAGUAGUC